Molecule: ribosomal RNA, 451 nt
Filed under: Streptococcus mutans
Lineage: Bacteria; Bacillati; Bacillota; Bacilli; Lactobacillales; Streptococcaceae
Description: bacterial SSU rRNA
Rfam family: Bacterial small subunit ribosomal RNA
Source: RNAcentral
GACGAACGCUGGCGGCGUGCCUAAUACAUGCAAGUGGGACGCAAGGGAACACACUGUGCUUGCACACCGUGUUUUCUUGAGUCGCGAACGGGUGAGUAACGCGUAGGUAACCUGCCUAUUAGCGGGGGAUAACUAUUGGAAACGAUAGCUAAUACCGCAUAAUAUUAAUUAUUGCAUGAUAAUUGAUUGAAAGAUGCAAGCGCAUCACUAGUAGAUGGACCUGCGUUGUAUUAGCUAGUUGGUAAGGUAAGAGCUUACCAAGGCGACGAUACAUAGCCGACCUGAGAGGGUGAUCGGCCACACUGGGACUGAGACACGGCCCAGACUUCCUACGGGAGGCAGCAGUAGGGAAUCUUCGGCAAUGGACGAAAGUCUGACCGAGCAACGCCGCGUGAGUGAAGAAGGUUUUCGGAUCGUAAAGCUCUGUUGUAAGUCAAGAACGUGUGUGAGA